Molecule: ribosomal RNA, 497 nt
Filed under: uncultured bacterium
Lineage: Bacteria
Description: partial 16S ribosomal RNA
Rfam family: Bacterial small subunit ribosomal RNA
Source: RNAcentral
GAUGAACGCUGGCGGCGUGCCUAAUACAUGCAAGUCGAGCGAACAGACGAGGAGCUUGCUCCUUUGACGUUAGCGGCGGACGGGUGAGUAACACGUAGGUAACCUACCUAUAAGACUGGGAUAACUUCGGGAAACCGGAGCUAAUACCGGAUAAUAUUUCGAACCGCAUGGUUCGAUAGUGCAAGAUGGCUUUGCUAUCACUUAUAGAUGGACCUGCGCCGUAUUAGCUAGUUGGUAAGGUAACGGCUUACCAAGGCAACGAUACGUAGCUGACCUGAGAGGGUGAUCGGCCACACUGGAACUGAGACACGGUCCAGACUCCUACGGGAGGCAGCAGUAGGGAAUCUUCGGCAAUGGGCGAAAGCCUGACGGAGCAACGCCGCGUGAGUGAUGAAGGUCUUCGGAUCGUAAAACUCUGUUAUUAGGGAAGAACAAACGUGUAAGUAACUGUGCACGUCUUGACGGUACCUAAUCAGAAAGCCACGGCUAACUACGUG